Molecule: non-coding RNA, 232 nt
Organism: Pseudonaja textilis
Lineage: Eukaryota; Metazoa; Chordata; Lepidosauria; Squamata; Elapidae
Source: RefSeq, a predicted model, not a curated record
CAGAGAUGCCGUCCUUCAGCAGAAGAGGGUGGCCUGCAACGGGCUGCCAUUGGCCGAGCUGCAGGGCAACCCGGUGGCCGGCUUGGCGGCCCCCGUAGCCCCCGGCAAGCAAGUCUUAAUCAAUCCUUUAGUGGACAAGAGCUCGGGCACUGUGGUGUGUGUUAUCCUGGUUUACUGCGGGCAACUUUCCGACUCCGAUGAGCAAAACCUCCGGGCUUUGGAGAAGCAUGUC